Non-coding RNA from Biomphalaria pfeifferi, 321 nucleotides. NCBI's taxonomy places the organism in Eukaryota, Metazoa, Mollusca, Gastropoda, Planorbidae. The record is from the annotation of a GenBank genome assembly.
ACCCUUUUUUUUACAAAUAUUAUUUAAAAACUUUAAUUUAAAAACAUCUCUCCACAUUAUGUGAUGUUAUCAUAUCCAAAGACUUCUUAGCUAUUACAAGUGCUAUCCUAAUAUAAUUAUGACCCUUAAUUUCAUAUUAUUAAUAGCAAGUAGACCAAGUAAGUAAAAGUAACAAACAGAAAAGCUUAAACAAUUUGAUUCGGUAGUGCUAAAAUGUGCACAGAAUUAUCACAAAACGUUUUAAAAACAUAGCUUAUAAGCACUUCCUUUUUGUAUACCGGAUACUCCAAAAAAAGCUUGUCUUACAAACAUCUCUCUACU